Molecule: non-coding RNA, 561 nt
Organism: Pimephales promelas (fathead minnow)
Lineage: Eukaryota; Metazoa; Chordata; Actinopteri; Cypriniformes; Leuciscidae
Source: RefSeq, a predicted model, not a curated record
GGGCAGGAUCGAGUUGAAGACAAAAGGCACUAUUUACUCAAUUUUUGGCGAGGCAAUCGCGACGGCGCGCGCUCAGUGGUGAGGCGAUCUGAACUUACAAGCACAAGAUGUCAGCAACAGCAGCUGAAGUGGAAAAAAGUUCUACACUUCCAGACUCUCUGAGACUGAUUUGUCUUAGGUAAUGUACGUUCCAGAAUCUUUAAAUUACUUAAUACAUUUUGCCUGUUGUAUUUUAGCAUACAUUUUUAUAAACUGUUUUCUUUUUUCUCUUCAUUUGUUUUAUUUUUAGGUGAAAUUCUCACUGCAACCCAGUGGAUGCUGAGUAUUGAGGGUCAAGUGGUUCUGAAUCAACACCCCGAUUUCAUGGCUGAAUUUGCUGCUUUGUUUGCAACUUACUAGAACUUUAAUCUGGUGUACCAGCAGCACGAGGCAUCCUGCACACUUGAAUUUGUCCAAAGAUGUUUACCAAGAACAUCAAUGAAAGUGGAAAGACCUCAGAGAAGAGGAACAACACAGUCAAUCCUCACGUGUCUACUCUUUUCAUUGGGCUACCCUGUGGAC